UUACAUUGUGGAAAAAUGUUAAUUUUGCUGCUUUGCUGAGUUUGUGGACCGGUUAACAGUUAUGUUUCUUUGUGGAAAAAUAUUAGCUUUGCUGUGAGUUUCUUGGGGACUAGGGGUUACUUCUUUGCUGAAUUUCUGUACAACUUUUAUGCUGAAUGUUUAGUUUAAAAAAAACUUUGGUUUUAGUGGAGCGUAAAUGUUAACGAUUUGCACUAGUAAAAGGUUUAUACCAGAAGUAAAACGUAUCAAUAUAGUACAUCAUUAGAUUUUCUCUUCCCCACACAUCAUCUCAC
Molecule: long non-coding RNA, 293 nt
Filed under: Setaria viridis
Lineage: Eukaryota; Viridiplantae; Streptophyta; Magnoliopsida; Poales; Poaceae
Description: long non-coding RNA (SVIR_LNC001239)
Source: RNAcentral